AGCAACAAAUGCCCUGCUUCCAGGAAAAGCCUCUAAGCAUCAGGUAACAUCAAAUCGUACCCCAAACCGACACAGGUGGUCAGGUAGAGAAUACCAAGGCGCUUGAGAGAACUCGGGUGAAGGAACUAGGCAAAAUGGUGCCGUAACUUCGGGAGAAGGCACGCUGACACGUAGGUGAAGUGAUUUACUCAUGGAGCUGAAGUCAGUCGAAGAUACCAGCUGGCUGCAACUGUUUAUUAAAAACACAGCACUGUGCAAACACGAAAGUGGACGUAUACGGUGUGACGCCUGCCCGGUGCCGGAAGGUUAAUUGAUGGGGUCAGCGCAAGCGAAGCUCCUGAUCGAAGCCCCGGUAAACGGCGGCCGUAACUAUAACGGUCCUAAGGUAGCGAAAUUCCUUGUCGGGUAAGUUCCGACCUGCACGAAUGGCGUAAUGAUGGCCAGGCUGUCUCCACCCGAGACUCAGUGAAAUUGAACUCGCUGUGAAGAUGCAGUGUACCCGCGGCAAGACGGAAAGACCCCGUGAACCUUUACUAUAGCUUGACACUGAACAUUGAGCCUUGAUGUGUAGGAUAGGUGGGAGGCUUUGAAGUGUGGACGCCAGUCUGCAUGGAGCCGACCUUGAAAUACCACCCUUUAAUGUUUGAUGUUCUAACGUGGACCCGUUACCCGGGUUGCGGACAGUGUCUGGUGGGUAGUUUGACUGGGGCGGUCUCCUCCUAAAGAGUAACGGAGGAGCACGAAGGUUGGCUAAUCCUGGUCGGACAUCAGGAGGUUAGUGCAAUGGCAUAAGCCAGCUUGACUGCGAGCGUGACGGCGCGAGCAGGUGCGAAAGCAGGUCAUAGUGAUCCGGUGGUUCUGAAUGGAAGGGCCAUCGCUCAACGGAUAAAAGGUACUCCGGGGAUAACAGGCUGAUACCGCCCAAGAGUUCAUAUCGACGGCGGUGUUUGGCACCUCGAUGUCGGCUCAUCACAUCCUGGGGCUGAAGUAGGUCCCAAGGGUAUGGCUGUUCGCCAUUUAAAGUGGUACGCGAGCUGGGUUUAGAACGUCGUGAGACAGUUCGGUCCCUAUCUGCCGUGGGCGCUGGAGAACUGAGGGGGGCUGCUCCUAGUACGAGAGGACCGGAGUGGACGCAUCACUGGUGUUCGGGUUGUCAUGCCAAUGGCACUGCCCGGUAGCUAAAUGCGGAAGAGAUAAGUGCUGAAAGCAUCUAAGCACGAAACUUGCCCCGAGAUGAGUUCUCCCUGAGACUUAAAGUCUCCUGAAGGAACGUUGAAGACGACGACGUUGAUAGGCCGGGUGUGUAAGCGCAGCGAUGCGUUGAGCUAACCGGUACUAAUGAACCGUGAGGCUUAACCUUACAACGCCGA
This 1370-nucleotide ribosomal RNA is filed under the name Salmonella enterica subsp. enterica serovar Enteritidis. RNAcentral describes it as "partial 23S ribosomal RNA". It matches the Rfam family "Bacterial large subunit ribosomal RNA", at positions 1589 to 2925 of the family's 2925-position model. The record is from RNAcentral. Lineage: Bacteria; Pseudomonadati; Pseudomonadota; Gammaproteobacteria; Enterobacterales; Enterobacteriaceae.